AAGUCGUAACAAGGUUUCCGUAGGUGAACCUGCGGAAGGAUCAUUAUAGAAAUGAUUUGAUAGUGC
This 66-nucleotide ribosomal RNA is filed under the name Eremothecium coryli. RNAcentral describes it as "partial 18S ribosomal RNA". The stretch from base 1 to 46 matches the Rfam family "Eukaryotic small subunit ribosomal RNA", at positions 1786 to 1831 of the family's 1831-position model. Lineage: Eukaryota; Fungi; Ascomycota; Saccharomycetes; Saccharomycetales; Saccharomycetaceae. The record is from RNAcentral.